RNAcentral lists this ribosomal RNA (373 nucleotides) under uncultured organism. RNAcentral describes it as "partial 16S ribosomal RNA". It matches the Rfam family "Bacterial small subunit ribosomal RNA", at positions 527 to 896 of the family's 1533-position model. The record is from RNAcentral.
GUAGGUGGCAAGCGUUGUCCGGAAUUAUUGGGCGUAAAGCGCGCGCAGGCGGUCCUUUAAGUCUGAUGUGAAAGCCCACGGGCUCAACCGUGGAGGGUCAUUGGAAACUGGGGGACUUGAGUACAGAAGAGGAAAGCGGAAUUCCACGUGUAGCGGUGAAAUGCGUAGAGAUGUGGAGGAACACCAGUGGCGAAGGCGGCGUUCUGGUCUGUAACUGACGCUGAGGCGCGAAAGCGUGGGGAGCAAACAGGAUUAGAUACCCUGGUAGUCCACGCCGUAAACGAUGAGUGCUAAGUGUUAGGGGGUUUCCGCCCCUUAGUGCUGCAGCUAACGCAUUAAGCACUCCGCCUGGGGAGUACGGCCGCAAAGGCUG